CUGACAAAUUUUGGUAUGGAUAGUUUCAAUUCAUCGAAUAUAUCAUUAUAACUUCUUUGUACAGUAGAGAAAAUAAUUUUGAGGCGGAAAACUAUUUUCUACUUAUGCUCAAAACUCAAAAAUACCUUCUUUUUUUUUUGUUUUUUUUAACCUAGCACUUGAAAUUAUCAAAAAAAUACGAGUAAUAUUUUAAAUAUUGAACCUUUACCAAACAUGCUAUUAAGGGUCUAAAGCAGAUGUCUCUGAAUUCAAUUCCUAUAAAUGUAAGACUUGUUAAUUUGCUAUUUAUCUAAACUUGGAGGCAAAUUAGCAAUUUUUAAAAGUCGAAAGGAUCUGAAUACUAAAGUUUGAGCUUCAUUUUUUCCCCCUCUAAAAUCUAUGUCUUUAAAUCAACAGUUGCAGCUCUGCAUUCUUGAGGAAUGAAAACUAUUUACGAUGGCAUUAUUUGUAAAUCGCAUAGGAACAAAAGAAUGAGCAGCAGUAGCAGAAGCUUUGGAUUGAAAAAUGUGAAGUCUAUUUUCAGCCUUACCAAUUACCACUGGCAUCUUCAGAGAAGGGCCUUGGAUAGUACAAGAGCAACUGUUAAAGACAACAGAACACAUGUAACUGAUUGAGCAACUGAUGUACUGAAAUGAGGUUGAAUUGUAAGGUACAAGCAAGACAUUAUGUAAGACAAUGUCUGAAGUCAGUUAUAGGGAACCAAUAGAUACUACUUUCACUUUGUAAUCAUUAGGAGAGUAAUAAUAUAAGGAAAUGAAAGGGAGCAGUUGAAAAAAUGCUUUUAGUUCCCGAGAAUCUUGACCAAACAUGUCAUUAACCUGAUGUUGCAUUACUCAGUAUUAGCCCCCAUUAUGUUAUUCAUGUUCUGGAUGACCAGUCCAAGUAUGCUAGAGGCCCAUAGUGGCUGAGAGUAUGCAUGGACCAAAGGUUGAUUUAAGUCCAUAUCCUUUUUCUUCAGCACUUUCCUCUUAGUACUUAUUGCAAUAAAGUAUUCAAACAAGAAUAGUUUAUGUGGAACUGUAGAAUAACUUAUUUGAGCAAAAGGCUAGAAAUAUUUUUGGAUUUGGAUCUGCACAAUCAAAUAAUAUUUGUGGAAUUUAAAUGGACUAAAGGUCCAAGCAUAGGGAUGAUUUUGAAUAAAAUGAAUAGGAUAUGAUUUUCAAGAAGGUGAACAGGAUGUCUGUAGAAAGUGGUAAUAAGGCUCUCAAAAACCUAGAGGAACAGCAAAACAGGAAUGUUUGAAGACGAAUAUUCUAGGAAAAAGAUGUUCCCAGGUCAUCUGGUGACAUGGAAUGUAAUUUGGUGUAGGAAAUAGAAGUACUUUUAAUGUUAAACUUAUACUUGUUUGCUAAUAGGAAAAUAUUGCUUUCCAACAAAUUGAAUGUUAUGUCAUAGGAAGGGAUCAGGACUAUAGAAAGAUCCCUGUUGUUAGACUGCGAAAAAGUAAUGCCUGGCAUAGCGACGAUAAGCUCAAGACAAGUUUGUAGCUUCGUUUAGAUCCUUAGUUACCAUUGCGAGUGAGGGGCUAGAUAAACAUAUAGCAUUUUUUGGGCAGUAUAUGAUGGGACAUGGGAGUUUUAAGAAUCUGACUAGCUUCUUGAGUGGGAAGGGUAGAGAAAAUAGUGUUCUUAUUCUAUUGAGGCUGCAUGCUAAAAGUUCUAAACUAUUAGAGGUAUCAUGGAUUGUAAAGGGGCUGAAUCAUGUAAAGAAGAGGAGAUUGGUAAAAAGUUUGGUGCACACAUAGAUAGCUGGCAUCGUCUGCUUUCAAGAGACCAAGCUAGAAGGGGAUACUAGGGAAUAGUUAAAGAAUUGUGGGCAAAUACAUGGGGUAAAUUUGCACACUUCCACUUUUCACUUUUUUCGUUUCAUAAUCAUAUUCAUUGUGCUAUGCAUCUUGUUUUUCACAUUAAUAUAGUAAAAGGCCUGUAACAAUUUCUUGAACUCAAAUAGUCAGCACUUCGGACUGCUAGUCGCUGGUCCUUUGUCAUAAUGAUCCUUCUAAUAUGUCUAGCUAGAGAUUAAGGAUAUGACACCUUUCUGGGGAAUAUUUACUUAUCCUGAACUUGGAGGAUUUAUAUAAUUACACCAAUGUUGAGUUUCAUUGUCCUCUUCUUGCACUAACAAGCACUGUUCU
Lycium barbarum (goji berry) is the source of this 2134-nucleotide RNA transcript. RefSeq lists it as uncharacterized. The transcript is spliced from 2 exons. The record is from RefSeq and is a predicted model, not a curated record. NCBI's taxonomy places the organism in Eukaryota, Viridiplantae, Streptophyta, Magnoliopsida, Solanales, Solanaceae.